AAGAGCAGAGCCCCUACCCUGUGCCUCGUAUGUGGGAGUCUCCUCUGCUCUCAGAGUUACUGCUGCCAAGCCGAGCUGGAGGGCGAGGAUGUCGGGGCCUGCACAGCACACACCUACUCCUGCGGCUCUGGGGCCGGCAUCUUCCUGAGAGUACGGGAAUGUCAGGUGCUAUUUUUAGCUGGCAAAACCAAAGGCUGUUUUUAUUCUCCUCCUUACCUUGAUGACUACGGGGAGACUGACCAGGGACUCAGACGAGGAAAUCCUUUACAUUUAUGCCAAGAGCGGUUUCGAAAGAUCCAGAAGCUCUGGCAGCAGCACAGCAUCACCGAGGAGAUCGGACACGCGCAGGAGGCCAACCAGACCCUGGUGGGCAUCGACUGGCAGCAUUUGUAACUGCUGCUCCACCACAAACCUGGACUUGGAGUUUUGUAACCCAGCUGGCUUUUCCAGAAAGACAACAGGAAAUAAGUUCGGCUGAAUCUAUUUUGAAAUAAAUUCUUUAUUUAAGCUUUUCUUCCCAGUUUUAUUUUUUUUUAGUCUGGCUCCAGGGACUGAUGAAAAUCAUUUUCCGCCAGAUUUUAUUCCCGUGUCCCUCAGAUGUUCCCUGGACUGAGAAUCCUUUCUAGACUGGAGCCACGCUCCUUCCGAUGCCGCCUGCUUCAAUUGCCAGUAACCAAGCCGGUCCAACAUUGCCCACGGAUUCAGCAGAGGCCAAGAGGAGCCUGGGGCCUGUCAGGACGAUCCUUCCUUCCUUGGUGCCCUGAGGCUGAGUGUAGUUCACCUCUGGGACUGGACCUCACCUCCAGAGCAAAGCAGUUGAAUUUGAAGACAGGAUUCCCUUCUCCCCAUGGCCUAAAGGGCUGGGGACUCUAACAGGAAAGGCUAGGGUGGAGAUGGCCGCCUUUCACUGUCUUUGUCCAGACGUUUGGCUUUGAGAGCAUUACUCACUUAAAGGGCUUUAUGAGACAUAAAGGACCCCCUAGUUUUCCAGACUCUAACCUUCUGCCCCAAGGCUAAGCAGAGAGCGUGCACCCUCAGGCAGACAGUGGCCGACAGACAGACAGGCCUCAGCCAAGUGCACUGCUCCAAGCC
Molecule: long non-coding RNA, 1092 nt
Filed under: Rattus norvegicus (Norway rat)
Lineage: Eukaryota; Metazoa; Chordata; Mammalia; Rodentia; Muridae
Description: long non-coding RNA NONRATT029178
Source: RNAcentral